GUGGUGUCCGUUGUUGCGACUUGUCGGAGAGUGGCGGGGCCACAUGGAGUUUGUUAUAGAGAGUGGAGUGGUGUCCGUUGUCGUAACUUGUCGGGAAGUUCGGGUUGGACGGCUGAAGCUCGGUUGGGACGUCUGGUGGAGUAGAAUAGCUCUCUGUCUCUGUAAUUUGAGAGAAGCUCAAAUGUUUUUGAGAUUGCUGACGGGCUGUUGUUGGGUGCUUUAGGCAUUGAUACCAU
RNAcentral lists this long non-coding RNA (236 nucleotides) under Elaeis guineensis (African oil palm). Its description in RNAcentral is "long non-coding RNA (EGUI_LNC063786)". The record is from RNAcentral. Lineage: Eukaryota; Viridiplantae; Streptophyta; Magnoliopsida; Arecales; Arecaceae.